Molecule: ribosomal RNA, 366 nt
Filed under: uncultured bacterium
Lineage: Bacteria
Description: bacterial SSU rRNA
Rfam family: Bacterial small subunit ribosomal RNA
Source: RNAcentral
AGAGUUUGAUCAUGGGUCAAGACGAACGCUGGGGGCGUGCCUAAUACAUGCAAGUCGAGCGCAGGAAACUGACGGAACUCUUCGGAGGGAAGGCAGCGGAAUGAGCGGCGGACGGGUGAGUAACACGUAAGGAACCUGCCUCAAGGAUUGGGAUAACUCCGAGAAAUCGGAGCUAAUACCGGAUAGUUCAACGGACCGCAUGGUCCGCUGAUGAAAGGCGCUUCGGCGUCACCUUGAGAUGGCCUUGCGGUGCAUUAGCUAGUUGGUGAGGUAACGGCCCACCAAGGCGACGAUGCAUAGCCGACCUGAGAGGGUGAUCGGCCACACUGGGACUGAGACACGGCCCAGACUCCUACGGGAGGCAGC